RNAcentral lists this ribosomal RNA (508 nucleotides) under uncultured Glomeraceae. Its description in RNAcentral is "SSU rRNA". It matches the Rfam family "Eukaryotic small subunit ribosomal RNA", at positions 569 to 1078 of the family's 1831-position model. Lineage: Eukaryota; Fungi; Glomeromycota; Glomeromycetes; Glomerales; Glomeraceae. The record is from RNAcentral.
AGCAGCCGCGGUAAUUCCAGCUCCAAUAGCGUAUAUUAAAGUUGUUGCAGUUAAAAAGCUCGUAGUUGAAUUUCGGGAUCAAUAUUUCGGUCAUGCCGUUGGUAUGCACUGUUAUCAUUGAUUUCUCACCUUCUAAAGAACCGUAAUGCCAUUAAUUUGGUGUUACGGGGAAUUAGGACUGUUACCUUGAAAAAUUAGAGUGUUUAAAGCAGGCUCACGCUUGAAUACAUUAGCAUGGAAUAAUGAAAUAGGACAUCCGAUUCUAUUUUGUUGGUUUCUAGGAUCGAUGUAAUGAUUAAUAGGGAUAGUUGGGGGCACUAGUAUUCAAUUGUCAGAGGUGAAAUUCUUGGAUUUAUUGAAGACUAACUACUGCGAAAGCAUUUGCCAAGGAUGUUUUCAUUAAUCAAGAACGAAAGUUAGGGGAUCGAAGACGAUCAGAUACCGUCGUAGUCUUAACCAUAAACUAUGCCGACUAGGGAUCGGAUGAUGUUAAUUUUUAAUGUACUCA